This 402-nucleotide ribosomal RNA is filed under the name uncultured bacterium. RNAcentral's name for it is "bacterial SSU rRNA". It matches the Rfam family "Bacterial small subunit ribosomal RNA", at positions 355 to 774 of the family's 1533-position model. The record is from RNAcentral.
UCGGGAAUUUUGCGCAAUGGGCGAAAGCCUGACGCAGCAACGCCGCGUGAGGGAUGACGGCCUUCGGGUUGUAAACCUCUUUUGUCAGGGAAGAUUAUGACGGUACCUGGCGAAUAAGCCACGGCUAACUACGUGCCAGCAGCCGCGGUAAUACGUAGGUGGCAAGCGUUGUCCGGAUUUACUGGGCGUAAAGAGCGCGCAGGCGGUCGAUUUAGUCGCGUGUGAAAGCCCCCGGCUCAACUGGGGAGGGUCACGCGAUACUGAUCGACUCGAAGGCAGGAGAGGGUAGUGGAAUUCCCGGUGUAGUGGUGAAAUGCGUAGAUAUCGGGAGGAACACCAGUGGCGAAGGCGACUACCUGGCCUGUUCUUGACGCUGAGGCGCGAAAGCUAGGGGAGCAAACG